UACCAGCACCCCGAGUGGUCGGGACGAUUAUUGGGCCUAAAGCAUCCGUAGCCGGUUUUACAAGUCCUCCGUUAAAUCCAGCUGCUUAACAGAUGGGCUGCGGAGGAUACUAUAAGACUAGGAGGCAGGAGAGGCAAGCGGUACUCAGUGGGUAGGGGUAAAAUCCGUUGAUCCAUUGAAGACCACCAGUGGCGAAGGCGGCUUGCCAGAACGCACUCGACGGUGAGGGAUGAAAGCUGGGGGAGCAAACCGG
This 253-nucleotide ribosomal RNA is filed under the name uncultured bacterium. RNAcentral's name for it is "partial 16S ribosomal RNA". It matches the Rfam family "Archaeal small subunit ribosomal RNA", at positions 474 to 727 of the family's 1478-position model. The record is from RNAcentral.